RNAcentral lists this ribosomal RNA (499 nucleotides) under uncultured bacterium. Its description in RNAcentral is "bacterial SSU rRNA". It matches the Rfam family "Bacterial small subunit ribosomal RNA", at positions 355 to 870 of the family's 1533-position model. The record is from RNAcentral.
UGGGGAAUAUUAGGCAAUGGGGGAAACCCUGACCUAGCCAUGCCGCGUGCGUGAAGAAGGUCUUAGGAUUGUAAAGCGCUUUCAGCGGGGAAGAUGAUGACGGUACCCGCAGAAGAAGCCCCGGCUAACUCCGUGCCAGCAGCCGCGGUAAUACGGAGGGGGUUAGCGUUGUUCGGAAUUACUGGGCGUAAAGCGCACGUAGGCGGACCAGAAAGUUGGGGGUGAAAUCCCGGGGGCUCAACCCCGGAACUGCCUCCAAAACUAUUGGUCUAGAGUUCGAGAGAGGUGAGUGGAAUUCCAAGUGUAGAGGUGAAAUUCGUAGAUAUUUGGAGGAACACCAGUGGCGAAGGCGGCUCACUGGCUCGAUACUGACGCUGAGGUGCGAAAGUGUGGGGAGCAAACAGGAUUAGAUACCCUGGUAGUCCACACCGUAAAACGAUGAAUGCCAGUCGUCGGGUAGCAUGCUAUUCGGUGACACACCUAACGGAUUAAGCAUUCC